AUUGAACGCUGGCGGCAUGCCUUACACAUGCAAGUCGAACGGUAGAGGGGCAACCCUUGAGAGUGGCGAACGGGUGAGUAAUGCAUCGGAACGUGCCCAGUCGUGGGGGAUAACACUUCGAAAGAAGUGCUAAUACCGCAUACGACCUGAGGGUGAAAGCGGGGGACCGAAAGGCCUCGCGCGAUUGGAGCGGCCGAUGUCAGAUUAGGUAGUUGGUGGGGUAAAAGCUCACCAAGCCAACGAUCCGUAGCUGGUCUGAGAGGACGACCAGCCACACUGGGACUGAGACACGGCCCAGACUCCUACGGGAGGCAGCAGUGGGGAAUUUUGGACAAUGGGCGCAAGCCUGAUCCAGCCAUGCCGCGUGCGGGAAGAAGGCCUCGGUUGUAA
Molecule: ribosomal RNA, 390 nt
Filed under: uncultured bacterium
Lineage: Bacteria
Description: bacterial SSU rRNA
Rfam family: Bacterial small subunit ribosomal RNA
Source: RNAcentral